AGUGAACGCUGGCGGUAGGCCUAACACAUGCAAGUCGAACGGCAGCACAGUAAGAGCUUGCUCUUACGGGUGGCGAGUGGCGGACGGGUGAGGAAUACAUCGGAAUCUACUUUUUCGUGGGGGAUAACGUAGGGAAACUUACGCUAAUACCGCAUACGACCUACGGGUGAAAGCAGGGGAUCUUCGGACCUUGCGCGAUUGAAUGAGCCGAUGUCGGAUUAGCUAGUUGGCGGGGUAAAGGCCCACCAAGGCGACGAUCCGUAGCUGGUCUGAGAGGAUGAUCAGCCACACUGGAACUGAGACACGGUCAAGACUCCUAAGGGAGGCAGCAGUGGGGAAUAUUGGACAAUGGGCGCAAGCCUGACCCAGCCAUACCGCGUGGGUGAAGAAGGCCUUCGGGUUGUAAAGCCCUCUUGUUGGGAAAGAAAAGCAGCAGGUUAAUACCCAGCUGUUCUGACGGUACCCAAAGAAUAAGCACCGGCUAACUUCGUG
RNAcentral lists this ribosomal RNA (492 nucleotides) under uncultured bacterium. RNAcentral describes it as "partial 16S ribosomal RNA". It matches the Rfam family "Bacterial small subunit ribosomal RNA", at positions 29 to 507 of the family's 1533-position model. The record is from RNAcentral.